UGUCAAUACAGGGAGUGCAGAAUUAUUAGGCAAAUGAGUAUUUUGACCACAUCAUCCUCUUUAUGCAUGUUGUCUUACUCCAAGCUGUAUAGGCUUGAAAGCCUACUACCAAUUAAGCAUAUUAGGUGAUGUGCAUCUCUGUAAUGAGAGGGGGUGUGGUCUAAUGACAUCAACACCCUAUAUCAGGUGUGCAUAAUUAUUAG
Molecule: non-coding RNA, 203 nt
Organism: Pelobates cultripes (western spadefoot toad)
Lineage: Eukaryota; Metazoa; Chordata; Amphibia; Anura; Pelobatidae
Source: the annotation of a GenBank genome assembly